Molecule: ribosomal RNA, 253 nt
Filed under: uncultured bacterium
Lineage: Bacteria
Description: partial 16S ribosomal RNA
Rfam family: Bacterial small subunit ribosomal RNA
Source: RNAcentral
UACGUAGGUGGCGAGCGUUGUCCGGAUUUAUUGGGCGUAAAGCGCGCGCAGGCGGUUGCCUAAGUCUGCUGUGAAAUCUCCCGGCUCAACUGGGAGGGGGCGGCGGAGACUGGGCGACUGGAGGGACCUAGAGGCCGGUGGAAUUCCCGGUGUAGUGGUGAAAUGCGUAGAGAUCGGAAAGAACACCAACGGCGAAAGCACUCUGCUGGGCCGACACUGACACUGAGAGACGAAAGCUAGGGGAGCGAAUGGG